This 504-nucleotide small RNA is filed under the name Pan troglodytes (chimpanzee). RNAcentral's name for it is "processed transcript". Lineage: Eukaryota; Metazoa; Chordata; Mammalia; Primates; Hominidae. The record is from RNAcentral.
ACUCUCCAGUGAAGCUACGACAGUAAGACCUUCUGUUUCAGCUGAAAAAGGAGGUCGGGACCGCAGCUCAUGAAAAGGACAAGACAUUUCAAAGAAAGUAUUAAAUUCAUUCAUGAGUGCCGGCUCCGCGGUGAGAGCUGCCUUGUACACUGCCUGGCCGGGGUCUCCAGGAGCGUGACACUGGUGAUCGCAUACAUCAUGACCGUCACUGACUUUGGCUGGGAGGAUGCCCUGCACACCGUGCGUGCUGGGAGAUCCUGUGCCAACCCCAACGUGGGCUUCCAGAGACAGCUCCAGGAGUUUGAGAAGCAUGAGGUCCAUCAGUAUCGGCAGUGGCUGAAGGAAGAAUAUGGAGAGAGCCCUUUGCAGGAUGCAGAAGAAGCCAAAAACAUUCUGGCCGCUCCAGGAAUUCUGAAGUUCUGGGCCUUUCUCAGAAGACUGUAAUGUACCUGAAGUUUCUGAAAUAUUGCAAACCCACAGAGUUUAGGCUGGUGCUGCCAAAAA